UGCCCAAUAUACGGGCCCGGCGGUGCAUCUUGUAAUCCUAUUUUGUUCUUAAAUGUUUUGAGUGUGACAAGGAGGAAGGUGGGAGCAUUAUCUAAGUAACAGUUUAAAAGUUUUGGUAUAUCUGCAGUGGUGUUUGGUCAGUUUCCCAAGUAUGGGGGGCGGGGGGGCUGACUGAUUAUCAAAGCAGUAGAAUGGAGAGUCACUUCUUUGGUGGUUCGGGCCUGAGCCCUGGGAAUUUGGUAAGAAGGGGGAGAGCGAAUUUAUUUAGGCCUCAAUACCUUUUAAACCCCCAUCUUGACGGAUACGCAGGAGUGAUUCCUUGUUUUGUGUGGGCUUACUAACAAAGUGCAUGAGAAAAAUUAGCAUUCGGCUUGAAAUUCGGUCCUGUUGAAAUGUAAAUUUUGUGGAAAAGGUGUUAUUGUUUGUCCAGAAGAUGGAAGGCUGAGUGCUUCAGGUGUUUUCCCGAAGUCCUGCGGAUUUAUGAUUGGAACGGGGCUCAUUAAUAAUCUGAAAUAAUGGGGUCUGUAUGUGGAAAGAAGAGUUUAAUCCCAGAGAACUGGGACAUUUGGGAAGAAGAUUAGGAAAAGGUAGUAAAAACCUGCAACAAAAAGGUUUGCACGGAAAUUGAAACAAGGGACAGUAACUAAUAUAAAUAAAUAAAAGGGAAUGGGAAAUCAAGGAAAUGGGUAAAAUCCAAAA
Molecule: long non-coding RNA, 699 nt
Organism: Cygnus olor (mute swan)
Lineage: Eukaryota; Metazoa; Chordata; Aves; Anseriformes; Anatidae
Exons: 3
Source: RefSeq, a predicted model, not a curated record